CAGGCCUAACACAUGCAAGUCGAGCGGAGUAUAUUUUUCGGAAUAUACUUAGCGGCGGACGGGUGAGUAACGCGUGAACAAUCUGCCCUGUACAGAGGAAUAGCCUCGGGAAACCGGGAUUAAAACCACAUGACACUUUGAUACCGCAUGGUAAUGAAGUCAAAUAUUUAUAGGUAUGGGAUGAGUUCGCGUCUGAUUAGCUAGUUGGUGGGGUAAAGGCCUACCAAGGCAACGAUCAGUAGCCGGCCUGAGAGGGUGAACGGCCACACUGGAACUGAGACACGGUCCAGACUCCUACGGGAGGCAGCAGUGGGGAAUAUUGCACAAUGGAGGGAACUCUGAUGCAGCGACGCCGCGUGAGUGAAGAAGGUCUUCGGAUCGUAAAACUCUGUCCUUGGUGAAGAUAAUGACGGUAGCCAAGGAGGAAGCCCCGGCUAACUACGUGCCAGCAGCCGCGGUAAUACGUAGGGGGCGAGCGUUGUCCGGAUUUACUGGGCGUAGAGGGUGAGUAGGCGGUUGUAUAUGUCAGGUGUAAAAGGCUAUGACUUAACCAUGGUUAGCACUUGAAACUGUAUGACUUGAGUGCAGGAGAGGUAAGUGGAAUUCCUAGUGUAGCGGUGAAAUGCGUAGAUAUUAGGAGGAACACCAGUGGCGAAGGCGACUUACUGGACUGUAACUGACGCUGAGUCACGAAAGCGUGGGUAGCAAACAGGAUUAGAUACCCUGGUAGUCCACGCUGUAAACGAUGAGUGCUAGGUGUUGGCCAGCGAUGGUCAGUGCCGCAGUAAACGCAUUAAGCACUCCGCCUGGGGAGUACGUACGCAAGUAUGAAACUCAAAGGAAUUGACGGGGACCCGCACAAGCAGCGGAGCAUGUGGUUUAAUUCGAAGCAACGCGAAGAACCUUACCAAGGCUUGACAUCCCCUUGACAGGUGCAGAGAUGUACCCUCCUCUUCGGAGGCAAGGGUGACAGGUGGUGCAUGGUUGUCGUCAGCUCGUGUCGUGAGAUGUUGGGUUAAGUCCCGCAACGAGCGCAACCCUUAUCCUUAGUUGCCAGCAGGUUAAGCUGGGCACUCUAAGGAGACUGCCGGUGAUAAACCGGAGGAAGGUGGGGAUGACGUCAAAUCAUCAUGCCCCUUAUGUCUUGGGCUACACACGUGCUACAAUGGUCGGUACAACGGGGAGCUAAGGAGCGAUCUGGAGCAAAUCCCAAUAAACCGAUCCCAGUUCGGAUUGUAGGCUGCAACUCGCCUACAUGAAGUCGGAGUUGCUAGUAAUCGCGAAUCAGAACGUCGCGGUGAAUGCGUUCCCGGGCCUUGUACACUCCGCCC
Molecule: ribosomal RNA, 1331 nt
Filed under: uncultured bacterium
Lineage: Bacteria
Description: 16S ribosomal RNA
Rfam family: Bacterial small subunit ribosomal RNA
Source: RNAcentral